Paramuricea clavata is the source of this 676-nucleotide non-coding RNA. NCBI's taxonomy places the organism in Eukaryota, Metazoa, Cnidaria, Anthozoa, Malacalcyonacea, Plexauridae. The record is from the annotation of a GenBank genome assembly.
AGAUACCCGAUCGUAUUGAACAUGCAACUAAAAGUUUUCAAAGUAAUAGUUUUAUUGAUCGCGAUGUCGGCAAAUAAUAGUAUACACUGUCGGAUUGCCAAAUUACAUAUUUUCACUCUAUAUUUUCUCUGUUAGAAAUGGAAGGCCACUUUAUAUGAAUCAUAUGCAAAUUAGUAUAGAAGCGGUUACCAUUGUGUCGCGUAAGCCCGGCGCACACUAAUGCAAGUUAAACGCACACUUUUCAUUCGUGGCUCGUGUCGUGAACAACACCUAAUAUCAAACAUGUUUGAUAUUUUUUGUCAUUUGUGACAAAAAUGUGCGGCAAACAACUCAUCGCAACUUUUCACAGCAAAGAAGUGCGCAUGCGUGAAAUUCCCCAAAACAACAUGGCCGAUAGUGAACAUACUAGUGAGCUGGUCAACGAAGCAAUUUUGGAGGAUAAAUUUGGCCGAAUUAGUCCAUGAGAUUAUUAUAGACUCUUCUCAAUAUCCAUCGUUUCGUUCAUAACUGGCGAUUUGCCCCCCUCGAACGUUUUUAACUUCGCCGUAUCAGCAAAAUAUCUUCAUCGUCUGACAAGUCAUCUUGUUCACUAUCCACCAUGUUGUUUGGGGAAAUAUCACGCAUGCGUAUUUCUUUGCUGCGAAAGGUUGCGAUGAACUGUUUGCCGCACACUAGG